RNAcentral lists this ribosomal RNA (492 nucleotides) under uncultured bacterium. RNAcentral describes it as "partial 16S ribosomal RNA". It matches the Rfam family "Bacterial small subunit ribosomal RNA", at positions 29 to 507 of the family's 1533-position model. The record is from RNAcentral.
AGUGAACGCUGGCGGUAGGCCUAACACAUGCAAGUCGAACGUCAGCACAGUAAGAGCUUGCUCUUACGGGUGGCGAGUGGCGGACGGGUGAGGAAUACAUCGGAAUCUACUUUUUCGUGGGGGAUAACGUAGGGAAACUUACGCUAAUACCGCAUACGACCUACGGGUGAAAGCAGGGGAUCUUCGGACCUUUCGCGAUUGAAUGAGCCGAUGUCGGAUUAGCUAGUUGGCGGGGUAAAGGCCCACCAAGGCGACGAUCCGUAGCUGGUCUGAGAGGAUGAUCAGCCACACUGGAACUGAGACACGGUCCAGACUCCUACGGGAGGCAGCAGUGGGGAAUAUUGGACAAUGGGCGCAAGCCUGAUCCAGCCAUACCGCGUGGGUGAAGAAGGCCUUCGGGUUGUAAAGCCCUUUUGUUGGGAAAGAAAAGCAGCAGGUUAAUACCCCGCUGUUCUGACGGUACCCAAAGAAUAAGCACCGGCUAACUUCGUG